AACAAGGCGUACCUGCGGACCUGCGGAAGGAUCAUUACAGAGUGUUUAACCCCCUAUAAAAUGGUGGGUCUAACCUCCCGUCCUUUGCUGGGUCCCCCUUCUGGAGGACUUUCAAAACUUUCUGCUUCGGCGGGGUAUACCUGCCGGAACACCCUCAAAAAAUUCUUGAUCAAAAUGGUUCCGGUCCGAGAAACUUUUUGUGAAAAUUAGCGAAAAACUUUUAACAAUGGAUCUCAGAUC
Molecule: unclassified non-coding RNA, 240 nt
Filed under: soil metagenome
Description: partial contains 5.8S ribosomal RNA, internal transcribed spacer 2, and large subunit ribosomal RNA
Source: RNAcentral